RNAcentral lists this unclassified non-coding RNA (222 nucleotides) under fungal sp. RNAcentral describes it as "partial internal transcribed spacer region". The stretch from base 1 to 46 matches the Rfam family "Eukaryotic small subunit ribosomal RNA", at positions 1786 to 1831 of the family's 1831-position model. Lineage: Eukaryota; Fungi. The record is from RNAcentral.
AAGUCGUAACAAGGUUUCCGUAGGUGAACCUGCGGAAGGAUCAUUAUCGUAGGGCUUCGGCCCUUGCGAGGUAGGACCCUUGACUUUUUGAGUACCGUACGUUUCCUCGGCAGGCUCGCCUGCCAAUGGGGACCUCCAAAACCUCUUCUGUAAUGAGUAGUAUACUUGUCUGAUAACAAAUAAAAUAUAUCAAAACUUUCAACAAUGGAUCUCUUGGUUCUG